Molecule: non-coding RNA, 1012 nt
Organism: Onthophagus taurus
Lineage: Eukaryota; Metazoa; Arthropoda; Insecta; Coleoptera; Scarabaeidae
Source: RefSeq, a predicted model, not a curated record
CACUUUGGCAAUAAUGUAUUCUUUAAAAAUUAAUUUUGUUUUAGAAUCCCAUUCGAGAUAACCGUCCAAUUAUUAAUGCUUAUCAAGACCCAAACAGUUUUAAUUGGAAUGAAAACCCCCGAUCACCAAUAACACCAAUAUCACCAAGAUCUCCAUCUAAUUUCAACAACUACAAUUACGUUCCGGAUGAUGAUCCGAAUUAUCAUCGUUCGGUGUCUCAACUUCAAGAACCACCGAGGCGUUACAUUCCGUCAGAACCUGCAAUCCCAGGCAGACAACAACAAAAACAACGAGCUCCUCAAGCACCAAAUCAAAUGCAAAGAGAUUACAGAGAUAAUAAUAAUAUGAGAGAUCCUCGUAAUAUUUCUCCUCAAAUUCCGGCUCCCGAUUAUGAUAAUCCUAGAAGGGGUGAAUUGGAAAGAAUGCCAAGAUCGGCAUUAAAAACUAAAAGUUAUUAUUAAAACUAACUAUUAUAAUGAAGGAGAAGAAAUUAGAGAAAAAUGGUUUUUAUUUUUUUAGUUUUGUAGAUUUAAAUUAUAUGUAGCUUUGUAGUUUUAUUGCAAUUUUUAUGUUACAGUAUUUUUUGUGGUUUAUUAUUUGUAAUGAUUAAUAUAACUAAGUUCUAUGUUGAAACAAAUUUUGAAUCGAGAUGAAAGAAAUUAGCUUUCUGAUCUAUCUUGUUUGAGUGUUUAAAUAAUAAUUUAACUGAUUUUCACACAAUUCAGUCAAUUUUUAGAUAUUGUCAAAUAAAUUAAAAUUAUUAGGUCGAUUAUUAAAUUAUUAAAAAAUCAAAAAUUCAUUUUUCUUUUGUAUAAAUUGUUGGAUUAGUUUCAAAAACAUAUUGUAGCUUUUUUUCUCCAUUUUGGAAGAUAUGACUGGUUCUACUUUAUUGCGAUUUUAUGUUUUGGAAAGCUUAGUAUGAUUCAAAUACAAAGUUUUCAAAAUCCUUGAAACUUACGAAAUCAUUAGUUUUAUGAUAAACAUGGAUAAUAAAUUCUUUUCAUAUCAAUCA